Dendrobium catenatum is the source of this 107-nucleotide small nucleolar RNA. The record is from RefSeq and is a predicted model, not a curated record. NCBI's taxonomy places the organism in Eukaryota, Viridiplantae, Streptophyta, Magnoliopsida, Asparagales, Orchidaceae.
AAGGCAUUUUGUUAGCAUUUUCAAAGCAUCUCCUUGAAUCUCUUCCAAAUCUCACAAAAAGAUUCUCCUUCCAUCGGAGUAGAAGAAGUAAUAACAUUUCUAAGCUU